CCUACGGGGGGCUGCAGUGGGGAAUAUUGGACAAUGGGGGCAACCCUGAUCUAGCCAUGCCGCGUGUGUGAAGAAGGCCCUCGGGUUGUAAAGCACUUUCAGUGAGGAAGAACGCCUGGUGGUUAAUACCCAUCAGGAAAGACAUCACUCACAGAAGAAGCACCGGCUAACUCCGUGCCAGCAGCCGCGGUAAUACGGAGGGUGCGAGCGUUAAUCGGAAUUACUGGGCGUAAAGCGCGCGUAGGUGGCUUGAUAAGCCGGUUGUGAAAGCCCCGGGCUCAACCUGGGAACGGCAUCCGGAACUGUCAAGCUAGAGUGCAGGAGAGGAAGGUAGAAUUCCCGGUGUAGCGGUGAAAUGCGUAGAGAUCGGGAGGAAUACCAGUGGCGAAGGCGGCCUUCUGGACUGACACUGACACUGAGGUGCGAAAGCGUGGGUAGCAAACAGGAUUAGAUACCCGUGUAGUC
RNAcentral lists this ribosomal RNA (465 nucleotides) under Vreelandella stevensii. Its description in RNAcentral is "partial 16S ribosomal RNA". It matches the Rfam family "Bacterial small subunit ribosomal RNA", at positions 338 to 795 of the family's 1533-position model. The record is from RNAcentral. Lineage: Bacteria; Pseudomonadati; Pseudomonadota; Gammaproteobacteria; Oceanospirillales; Halomonadaceae.